Small nucleolar RNA from Sceloporus undulatus (fence lizard), 76 nucleotides. RefSeq annotates it as small nucleolar RNA SNORD24. NCBI's taxonomy places the organism in Eukaryota, Metazoa, Chordata, Lepidosauria, Squamata, Phrynosomatidae. The record is from RefSeq and is a predicted model, not a curated record. The transcript has a single exon.
AGCAAAUGAUGCAAGCGAAUAUUUGCUAUCUGAGCAACGGGUGCUGACACCUUUACCCACCAAGAUCGCUGAUGCU